UCGGCCGCAGAGAGCAGCAAAUCCGAGAGGGACAAACCUGAGCGAAUGAGAAUCCGGCUCCCCGAAGAGACAUCACCUUAUAUGGGAACAGCACGGACAGGAGCAUGAACGGCCCGGCCGGGCUGCUGAGACUGAGCCCGGGAUUUGGAGGCCGGACCUUGAGAGCUCUGCAGGUUUCCAGCCCCAGCUCCUGUGUGUGCAGUGUCAGUGUGGCCUCACACCUCUCCUGCCCCUGGCCAGAGGCACACAGCUGGCUCAGAACACGCUGGGCAGCUGCAGCUCUGUGUGACAAGACAGUUGUCUAGCCACUUGUCACAGACUCUGACAGGAGAGGAUGAUGUUAGCAGCUCAGUGAGUACCAGUGUGAAGGAAGUGGCCCACAAAAGCAACAGGAUCUGGGUUACAGCAGAAUACACUGU
Melospiza georgiana is the source of this 419-nucleotide long non-coding RNA. RefSeq lists it as uncharacterized. The record is from RefSeq and is a predicted model, not a curated record. NCBI's taxonomy places the organism in Eukaryota, Metazoa, Chordata, Aves, Passeriformes, Passerellidae. The transcript has 3 exons.